AUACGUAGGUGGCAAGCGUUGUCCGGAAUUAUUGGGCGUAAAGCGCGCGCAGGUGGUUCCUUAAGUCUGAUGUGAAAGCCCCCGGCUCAACCGGGGAGGGUCAUUGGAAACUGGGGAACUUGAGUGCAGAAGAGGAUAGUGGAAUUCCAAGUGUAGCGGUGAAAUGCGUAGAGAUUUGGAGGAACACCAGUGGCGAAGGCGACUGUCUGGUCUGUAACUGACCCUGAGGCGCGAAAGCGUGGGGAGCAAACAGGAUUAGAUACCCUGGUAGUCCACGCCGUAAACGAUGAGUGCUAAGUGUUGGGGGGUUUCCGCCCCUCAGUGCUGCAGCUAACGCAUUAAGCACUCCGCCUGGGGAGUACGGUCGCAAGACUGAAACUCAAAUGAAUUGGCGGGG
Molecule: ribosomal RNA, 397 nt
Filed under: uncultured bacterium
Lineage: Bacteria
Description: partial 16S ribosomal RNA
Rfam family: Bacterial small subunit ribosomal RNA
Source: RNAcentral